GUCUUUUUGAUUAUAAUUUAAAGUCUGACCUGCCCUAUGAAUUUUUAAAUGGCUGCGGUACUCUGACCGUGCAAAGGUAGCAUAAUAAUUAGUUUUUUAAUUGGGAACUGGUAUGAAAGGUCGAACGAGAAAAAGACUGUCUCAAUUUAAUUUUUAUUAGAAUUUUAUUUUUAAGUAAGAAAGCUUAAAUAAUAUUAAAAGACGAGAAGACCCUAUAGAGUUUUAUAAUUUUAUAUAUUAUUGAAAGUUAAAGUAUUAUAGAUUUGGUUAUAUAUAAAAUUAUUUGGUUGGGGCGAUUAAAAAAUUGAUUAAACUUUUUUUAUUUAUAAACAUUGAUAUAUGAUUAAGUGAUCCAUAAAGUUAUGAUUAUAAGAUUAAAUUACCUUAGGGAUAACAGCGUAAUUUUUUUUGAGAGUUCAUAUCGAAAAAAAAGUUUGCGACCUCGAUGUUGGAUUAAAAUAAACUUUUGGCGCAGCAACUAAAAGAGUUAGGUCUGUUCGACCUUUAAAAUUUUACA
RNAcentral lists this ribosomal RNA (517 nucleotides) under Gymnopleurus sp. BMNH676998. Its description in RNAcentral is "partial 16S ribosomal RNA". It matches the Rfam family "Bacterial large subunit ribosomal RNA", at positions 1819 to 2600 of the family's 2925-position model. The record is from RNAcentral. Lineage: Eukaryota; Metazoa; Arthropoda; Insecta; Coleoptera; Scarabaeidae.